GCUGGACAGUGCAGAGCAGGCAGGGUUUCACUGUGUCAAUCAAGCUGAAGUGCAGUCAUGGACGAGUGCGAACUCCUUUGCGAGGCGUCGAGGAACGGUGACAUAGAAAAGGUGACAGCUCUCAUAAACUCCGGAGCCGACAUUUCCUACUUUGGCAACGACGGCUUCACUCCGCUCAUGCACGCGGCCAAGCUCGGCCACGCCGCCGUCGUCAAGGCGCUUCUGGAAGCCGGUGCCCCCUGGAACGCACUCUCUCCUUCUAAUAUCUCCGCUGGCGAUUUAGCCAUGGAGGAAGGUCACCAGGAGGCCUUCGAAAUUCUCCUCAAUGCUGGAAUUCAAUCUGAGUUGAUCUUAGGAACCAUUGCAAGGAAGGAGAAUGAAAAUGGCCAUGCUAAUGGGGAUUACUUGGAAGAUAGGGUUACUUUCAGCGAGGAUAAGCUGAUGGACUCUGAUAGCAAAGCUGUCAUGAUGGCCUGGGAGAAACCACUAAUGGAGGCACAUGCCAAGGCUGUUUGCUCAGGAGGUGGCCACAUACUAAACAUUGGGUUUGGAAUGGGCCUUGUGGAUACAGCUAUUCAACAAUACAAUCCAACUACUCACACAAUCGUAGAGGCGCAUCCAGAGGUCUAUGAAAGGAUGCUUGGCGCUGGUUGGGGCAAGAAAGAUAAUGUAAAGAUAAUUUUUGGCCGGUGGCAAGAUGUUCUUUCUCAGCUUGAAACUUAUGAUGGUAUUUUCUUUGACACAUAUGGAGAGUAUUAUGAGGAUCUGAGAGGGUUCCACCAACGCCUUCCUGAGUUAUUGAAGCCUGGAGGAAUAUACUCAUUCUUCAAUGGACUUUGUGGAGGUAAUGCAUUUUUCCAUGUUGUUUACUGUAAUUUAGUUUCUCUAGAACUAGAAAAUUUGGGCUACCACACACAGUUAAUUCCCUUGCCUGUUAAGGAUUGUUUGGAGAAAGAAGUUUGGGAAGGUGUGAGACAAAAGUAUUGGCAGCUUGAUACGUAUUACCUCCCCGUUUGUCAGUCUGUACAAGAUUCUGAAUGAUAAUCUUAUUAAGCUGUCACUUUUCUCCUCUUUUAGUUAGGGCUAUUGAAUAUUUGAAUUAUAGUUGGUGAUUCAGUAUCUUUGAAACUUCUAUUAUCCAUCAUCGUUAAAGAGCUUGUUGGGUUGUUUACUGCAUUGGAUGUUAUUAAUUUGAGCUUAUGGUGGUAUUGAAACUUGCUAUGAUUGGGUCGAGAAUGAAUUUUAGCCCACCAUACACAGACAAAUGUAUUAGCUAGAUAAUAGAUACAUUAAUUGUUUUUGCUAUGAGUUUACUAAUAUUACACGAGUUGUGUUCGAUUUUGCUGACAUUAAAUUUGGAGAGGGCUAAAUAUGAUGAAAGUUAGAAACCUGCAAGAGAGUUCCACAAGCAUGCUUAGAGUUAAGCCAUAGGUUCUAUGUUUCAAGUCUCAUGUCAACUAGAAAAAGGACACAGUUGCUAAUUUUACCCUACUGAAACAAAUGAGAUCAUC
RNAcentral lists this unclassified non-coding RNA (1511 nucleotides) under Hevea brasiliensis (rubber tree). The record is from RNAcentral. Lineage: Eukaryota; Viridiplantae; Streptophyta; Magnoliopsida; Malpighiales; Euphorbiaceae.